This 238-nucleotide ribosomal RNA is filed under the name uncultured bacterium. Its description in RNAcentral is "partial 16S ribosomal RNA". It matches the Rfam family "Bacterial small subunit ribosomal RNA", at positions 112 to 334 of the family's 1533-position model. The record is from RNAcentral.
AACACGUAGGUAAUCUACCCUUUGGCGGGGGACAACAUUCCGAAAGGGGUGCUAAUACCGCAUAAGACCACGCUGUCCUCGGACGAAGUGGGAAAAGGUGGCCUCUUCUUGAAAGCUAUCACCAAAGGAUGAGCCUGCGUCCCAUCAGCUAGUUGGUAAGGUAAUGGCUUACCAAGGCGAAGACGGGUAGCUGGUUUGAGAGAAUGAUCAGCCACACUGGCACUGGAACACGGGCCAG